UUAGUUGGUGGAGUGAUUUGUCUGGUUAAUUCCGUUAACGAACGAGACCUCAGCCUGCUAACUAGUAGUGCUUAUCCUUUGGCCAUCGUCCGUUCCGGCUUGGUGGCCGGCAGUCCGCUGUCGUGGCGCCUCGCCUGGUUCGGGCCGGUCAGUUCGGGAUAGGAGAGGCUUUGGACCGCUUGCGGUCCGGGCCCGUUCGACUUCUUAGAGGGACUAUCUGUGCGCAGCAGGUGGAAGUUUGAGGCAAUAACAGGUC
RNAcentral lists this ribosomal RNA (256 nucleotides) under uncultured eukaryote. RNAcentral describes it as "partial small subunit ribosomal RNA". It matches the Rfam family "Eukaryotic small subunit ribosomal RNA", at positions 1294 to 1462 of the family's 1831-position model. The record is from RNAcentral.